Non-coding RNA from Bos taurus (domestic cattle), 35 nucleotides. The record is from Rfam. Lineage: Eukaryota; Metazoa; Chordata; Mammalia; Artiodactyla; Bovidae.
CUGUCUCUUGCUUCAACAGUGCUUGGAUGCAACAG